This 497-nucleotide ribosomal RNA is filed under the name uncultured bacterium. RNAcentral's name for it is "partial 16S ribosomal RNA". It matches the Rfam family "Bacterial small subunit ribosomal RNA", at positions 28 to 507 of the family's 1533-position model. The record is from RNAcentral.
GACGAACGCUGGCGGCGUGCCUAAUACAUGCAAGUUGAGCGCUGAAGGUUGGUACUUGUACCAACUGGAUGAGCAGCGAACGGGUGAGUAACGCGUGGGGAAUCUGCCUUUGAGCGGGGGACAACAUUUGGAAACGAAUGCUAAUACCGCAUAAAAACUUUAAACACAAGUUUUAAGUUUGAAAGAUGCAAUUGCAUCACUCAAAGAUGAUCCCGCGUUGUAUUAGCUAGUUGGUGAGGUAAAGGCUCACCAAGGCGAUGAUACAUAGCCGACCUGAGAGGGUGAUCGGCCACAUUGGGACUGAGACACGGCCCAAACUCCUACGGGAGGCAGCAGUAGGGAAUCUUCGGCAAUGGACGAAAGUCUGACCGAGCAACGCCGCGUGAGUGAAGAAGGUUUUCGGAUCGUAAAACUCUGUUGGUAGAGAAGAACGUUGGUGAGAGUGGAAAGCUCAUCAAGAGACGGUAACUACCCAGAAAGGGACGGCUAACUACGUG